UGGGGAAUAUUGGACAAUGGGCGCAAGCCUGAUCCAGCCAUGCCGCGUGGGUGAAGAAGGCCUUCGGGUUGUAAAGCCCUUUUGUUGGGAAAGAAAAGCAGUCGGUUAAUACCCGAUUGUUCUGACGGUACCCAAAGAAUAAGCACCGGCUAACUUCGUGCCAGCAGCCGCGGUAAUACGAAGGGUGCAAGCGUUACUCGGAAUUACUGGGCGUAAAGCGUGCGUAGGUGGUUUGUUAAGUCUGAUGUGAAAGCCCUGGGCUCAACCUGGGAAUUGCAUUGGAUACUGGCAGGCUAGAGUGCGGUAGAGGGUAGUGGAAUUCCCGGUGUAGCAGUGAAAUGCGUAGAGAUCGGGAGGAACAUCCGUGGCGAAGGCGACUACCUGGACCAGCACUGACACUGAGGCACGAAAGCGUGGGGAGCAAACAGGAUUAGAUACCCUGGUA
RNAcentral lists this ribosomal RNA (445 nucleotides) under uncultured bacterium. RNAcentral's name for it is "bacterial SSU rRNA". It matches the Rfam family "Bacterial small subunit ribosomal RNA", at positions 355 to 792 of the family's 1533-position model. The record is from RNAcentral.